RNAcentral lists this ribosomal RNA (314 nucleotides) under uncultured bacterium. RNAcentral's name for it is "bacterial SSU rRNA". It matches the Rfam family "Bacterial small subunit ribosomal RNA", at positions 541 to 854 of the family's 1533-position model. The record is from RNAcentral.
UUGUCCGGAAUUACUGGGUGUAAAGGGAGCGUAGGCGGGACGGUAAGUCAGGUGUGAAAUAUACGUGCUCAACAUGUAGACUGCACUUGAAACUGCUGUUCUUGAGUGAAGUAGAGGUAAGCGGAAUUCCUAGUGUAGCGGUGAAAUGCGUAGAUAUUAGGAGGAACAUCGGUGGCGAAGGCGGCUUACUGGGCUUUUACUGACGCUGAGGCUCGAAAGCGUGGGGAGCAAACAGGAUUAGAUACCCUGGUAGUCCACGCUGUAAACGAUGAUUACUAGGUGUGGGGGGACUGACCCCUUCCGUGCCGCAGUCC